Molecule: ribosomal RNA, 436 nt
Filed under: uncultured eukaryote
Lineage: Eukaryota
Description: SSU rRNA
Rfam family: Eukaryotic small subunit ribosomal RNA
Source: RNAcentral
CCAGUAGCCGCGGUAAUUCCAGCUCCAAUAGCGUAUAUUAAAGUUGUUGCAGUUAAAAAGCUCGUAGUCUGAAUCUUGGUCUGGUGUUGAGUGUCUCUGCGGCUCCUUCACAGGGGUCGUGUGCAUACGAUAUACACUGGCCAGCGUUUGUACUUCGGAGGAACACAGGUGCUUCUCAUUAAGUGCUUGCUUUGGGAUUCCGAUAGUUUACUUUGAGAAAAAUAGAGUGUUCAAAGCAGGCGUUUUUGCCUUGAAUACAUUAGCAUGGGAUAAUGGAAUAGGACAUUGGUUCUAUUUUGUUGGUUUACGGACCGAUGUAAUGAUUAAUAGGAACAGUUGGGGACAUUUAUAUUCCGCGGCUAGAGGUGAAAUUCUUGGAUCCGUGGAAGAUAAACUACUGCGAAAGCAUUUGUCAAAGAUGUUUUCAUUGAUCACG